CGGACCCGAAAGAAGGUGAACUAUGCCUGUAUAGGGUAAAGCCAGAGGAAACUCUGGUGGAGGCUCGCAGCGGUUCUGACGUGCAAAUCGAUCGUCAAAUAUGGGCAUGGGGGCGAAAGACUAAUCGAACCUUCUAGUAGCUGGUUUCCGCCGAAGUUUCCCUCAGGAUAGCAGUGUUGAAUUCUCAGUUUUAUGAGGUAAAGCGAAUGAUUAGGGACUCGGGGGCGCUAUUAAGCCUUCAUCCAUUCUCAAACUUUAAAUAUGUAAGAAGCCCUUGUUACUUAAUUGAACGUGGGCAUUCGAAUGUAUCAACACUAGUGGGCCAUUUUUGGUAAGCAGAACUGGCGAUGCGGGAUGAACCGAUCGCGGGGAUAAGGUGCCGGAGUGGACGCUCAUCAGACACCACAAAAGGUGUUAU
This 418-nucleotide ribosomal RNA is filed under the name Lomentospora prolificans. Its description in RNAcentral is "Scedosporium prolificans Eukaryotic large subunit ribosomal RNA". It matches the Rfam family "Eukaryotic large subunit ribosomal RNA", at positions 811 to 1227 of the family's 3401-position model. The record is from Rfam by way of RNAcentral. Lineage: Eukaryota; Fungi; Ascomycota; Sordariomycetes; Microascales; Microascaceae.